UACGUAGGGUGCGAGCGUUGUCCGGAAUUAUUGGGCGUAAAGAGCUUGUAGGCGGUCUGUUGCGUCGGAAGUGAAAACUCAGGGCUUAACCCUGAGCCUGCUUUCGAUACGGGCAGACUUGAGGGAUGUAGGGGAGAACGGAAUUCCUGGUGGAGCGGUGGAAUGCGCAGAUAUCAGGAGGAACACCAGUGGCGAAGGCGGUUCUCUGGACAUUUCCUGACGCUGAGAAGCGAAAGCGUGGGGAGCAAACAGG
This 253-nucleotide ribosomal RNA is filed under the name uncultured bacterium. Its description in RNAcentral is "partial 16S ribosomal RNA". It matches the Rfam family "Bacterial small subunit ribosomal RNA", at positions 524 to 776 of the family's 1533-position model. The record is from RNAcentral.